Molecule: long non-coding RNA, 647 nt
Organism: Athalia rosae (coleseed sawfly)
Lineage: Eukaryota; Metazoa; Arthropoda; Insecta; Hymenoptera; Athaliidae
Exons: 3
Source: RefSeq, a predicted model, not a curated record
AAUAAUAAUAAUGCGCGAUGAUCUAUAUAAUCGAUGGAUUCGUACGUGGUCUACACGAUAUUCAAGCGUAGUCAACACGGUCGAUUUUCGUCGACCUUGUUUUCAUUGUUCGACCGUUUACUCUGUUUACCUCCGAAACGUAAACAGAAUCGGGUGAGUCGAGUGACCGAGAAUCUUCAGUUUCCAGUGAGCGUUAGGCCUAGGUGGAAGUUGCGUUGUAAGUUAUAAUAGCGAAAAUCGAGUGACGCCGUUGAGCGAUUUUUGUGCCCGGAAAGGACGCUGCGGUCCAGCUGGUGCAGCGGUGCAACGAUUCGGCUUCGGACUCAGGGGGAAACGGUCUUCGACACUUUUUUUCUCAGAUCGUCGCUGCAACUGGCUCCUCAGGUGGAUCAAUUCCCACAGGAAAUGGGACUCCAUGUCCUUGGCGGAGCUCGCGCGGACCUGGACUUCGGUUACAGAUUUUUCUCUCAUUCACGGAGCGGGAGCGGAGUGCGAAGAGGUCGACCUAGAUUUUGCGAAACAAGAGUGCAGAAAUUGACAAUUGACUUAUGGGGGAUGCAUUGUGCGGCUGGUGAGUGUUCUAUUUUUUUUUCUUCUCUCCACUUGUUUCGUUGAUUACGUGCAGGGUGGGGUACGGUAGUACGUAU